GUCAAUGGACGCAAGUCUGAACCAGCCAUGCCGCGUGGAGGAUUAAGGCCCCCUGGGUUGUAAACUCCUUUUAUCUGGGAAGAAAUGUACUUUUUCUUGAGUACUUGACGGUACCAGAGGAAUAAGCACCGGCUAACUCCGUGCCAGCAGCCGCGGUAAUACGGAGGGUGCAAGCGUUAUCCGGAUUCACUGGGUUUAAAGGGUGCGUAGGUGGGCAGGUAAGUCAGUGGUGAAAUCUCCGGGCUUAACCCGGAAACUGCCGUUGAUACUAUUUGUCUUGAAUAUUGUGGAGGUAAUCGGAAUAUGUCAUGUAGCGGUGAAAU
RNAcentral lists this ribosomal RNA (323 nucleotides) under uncultured bacterium. RNAcentral describes it as "bacterial SSU rRNA". It matches the Rfam family "Bacterial small subunit ribosomal RNA", at positions 367 to 687 of the family's 1533-position model. The record is from RNAcentral.